UACGUAGGGGGCUAGCGUUGUCCGGAAUCAUUGGGCGUAAAGCGCGUGUAGGCGGCCAGAUAGGUCUGCUGUGAAAACUCGAGGCUCAACCUCGAGCUGUCGGCGGAAACCAUCUGGCUAGAGUCCGGAAGAGGAGAGUGGAAUUCCCGGUGUAGCGGUGAAAUGCGCAGAUAUCGGGAAGAACACCAGUGGCGAAGGCGGCUCUCUGGGACGGUACUGACGCUGAGACGCGAAAGCGUGGGGAGCGAACAGG
RNAcentral lists this ribosomal RNA (253 nucleotides) under uncultured bacterium. Its description in RNAcentral is "partial 16S ribosomal RNA". It matches the Rfam family "Bacterial small subunit ribosomal RNA", at positions 524 to 776 of the family's 1533-position model. The record is from RNAcentral.